CUCUAGCUCUCUCUCUCUAGAGGAACCAUCAUUCCUAUAUGGUGACCCAAAUAGGGUACACGAAUUCUCUGCACUUUUAUCGCAUAUAUAUAAAAUUAGAAGUCUAUACUUAAUAGAAAACUUCUUAUUGGUAUUAUAUAUAUCUCAAAAGGCCAAGAGAUAUAUCCAUCCAAGAGUCCUAAUCUUUUUGGAUUUCUAUUUCCCGUAGGAAAUUUAUCAAAUAUCAAUAUCAAUCCCAAAUAAUAUGGAAAUAUCUCAAUCCCACAAAAUAUGAAAAUAUCUCAAUCCCACAAAAUAUGGAAAUAUCUCAAUCCCACAUAAUAUAGAAAUAUCUCAAUCCCACAAAAUAGGAUAAUAUCUCAAUCAAUCCCACAAAAUAUGGGAUUUUCUUAUGUGGGUGAUUUUGGAUAGCACCAAAUCCAACAAUUUCAACCCUAGAUAUGGUCAAAAUGAGUCCCCUCCAACAACGAAUCUGAACCAUUCAUUUGGGAAAUUUCAAGAUCUUAGCUUUUAUAAACUAAAAAUCCUUUUUUUUUUUUUUAGCAUUGUUCAUAUAACGAUAAUAAAGCCAUCUAAAAAAAUU
This 583-nucleotide long non-coding RNA is filed under the name Amborella trichopoda. Its description in RNAcentral is "long non-coding RNA (ATRI_LNC003852)". The record is from RNAcentral. Lineage: Eukaryota; Viridiplantae; Streptophyta; Magnoliopsida; Amborellales; Amborellaceae.